Molecule: ribosomal RNA, 432 nt
Filed under: uncultured bacterium
Lineage: Bacteria
Description: partial 16S ribosomal RNA
Rfam family: Bacterial small subunit ribosomal RNA
Source: RNAcentral
AACGAACGCUGGCGGCAGGCCUAACACAUGCAAGUCGAGCGAGGACUUCGGUCCUAGCGGCGGACGGGUGAGUAACGCGUGGGAACGUGCCCUUUGCUUCGGAAUAGCCCUGGGAAACUGGGAGUAAUACCGGAUGAGCCCUUUGGGGGAAAGAUUUAUCGGCGAAGGAUCGGCCCGCGUUGGAUUAGGUAGUUGGUGGGGUAAUGGCCUACCAAGCCGACGAUCCAUAGCUGGUUUGAGAGGAUGAUCAGCCUCACUGGGACUGAGACACGGCCCAGACUCCUACGGGAGGGAGCAGGGGGGAAUCUUAGACAAGGGGGGAAACCCUGAUCUAGCCAUGCCGGGUGGGGGAUGAAGGCCUUGGGGUUGUAAAGCUCUUUCAGCUGGGAAGAUAAUGACGGUACCAGCAGAAGAAGCCCCGGCUAACCCCGU